UUAGUACAAUUUACUCAAAGAACCGUAAAAUUUAGAAAUCGCGUAUAUCGAGUAUGGCGUAUAUCGGGGAAUACCUGAAAUCAAGUUUGCAAGUGGUAGGACGCGUCGAUGCGUGCUCGUUUUUUCUCUCGUGGAACCAGUACGGAAAAAAACUAUUUGAAAAUCGUAACACACGCACGAACGAAAGUGAGCACGGACCACGAUAGAAACAAUAUUCAAUUGGUUGGAGUGUCGAAAACAACAGAACAGGAGAGGAAAGAAAUCAGGAACGACCAUUCAACGCGAUAGCGCCGGAGAGGCGGCAGGAAGGUAGGGACGAUCAUCCAGCACGCUAGCGCAGCACCUGGGAGCAGCGAGGGGGAGGCAAGCAGGAAGAAUUUUUAACGCGUGCACACCAUUCGACGAAGACAACGCUGGAUGAAAGGAAGAACG
Anopheles gambiae (African malaria mosquito) is the source of this 432-nucleotide long non-coding RNA. RefSeq lists it as uncharacterized. The record is from RefSeq and is a predicted model, not a curated record. NCBI's taxonomy places the organism in Eukaryota, Metazoa, Arthropoda, Insecta, Diptera, Culicidae. The transcript is spliced from 3 exons.